Molecule: unclassified non-coding RNA, 341 nt
Filed under: uncultured fungus
Lineage: Eukaryota; Fungi
Description: partial contains small subunit ribosomal RNA, internal transcribed spacer 1, and 5.8S ribosomal RNA
Rfam family: Eukaryotic small subunit ribosomal RNA (bases 1-73)
Source: RNAcentral
GCAAACUUGGUCAUUUAGAGGAAGUAAAAGUCGUAACAAGGUUUCCGUAGGUGAACCUGCGGAAGGAUCAUUGCCGAACGGACGCUCGGGUCUCAUCUUCUUCUCGAGGAGGAACCCGGGUGUCUUUUUCGACCAACCCAUGUGAACUCGUUCAAUGUGUUUAACAGUGUUUUGGGGGUCUCCCCAAAACCUGUCCAAAACCCAUUUUUAACAAACCACAUUUCUGAAACACUCUUGACUGAGACUUAUAGGUCACGCCUAAAAACGUUGAUCUCAAAAACCUAACCAUUACAACUUUUAACAACGGAUAUCUUGGCUCGCGCAUCGAUGAAGAACGCAGC